Long non-coding RNA from Saccostrea echinata, 353 nucleotides. RefSeq lists it as uncharacterized. Lineage: Eukaryota; Metazoa; Mollusca; Bivalvia; Ostreida; Ostreidae. The transcript is spliced from 3 exons. The record is from RefSeq and is a predicted model, not a curated record.
CUUCCGGGUACCUCACUCAUGGAGAUGUAUUGGGUUACACAUGUUUAUGGUUUACACAAAGCGUACAAGGAAAGAUUAAGCAGUUGUACAAAGCCGAAGGGUUCUCCGACGUACGAUGGAUGAAUUGAGUGUCAUAAAAGCUUGGAUGCGAGCAUCCAGGAGGAGAAUUUCGAUCGAAGUACAGCUAAAGUACAAGAGAACUGCAGCACCGAAGACUACAUGUACAUCGAUUUGAUUAAUCUGUAUCCUCAAAAGGCAAAUCAAAUACAGAAAAUGCAUAUAAUUUGGAAAAGAGACCACCAAUCCACUGGGGGGUAUCACAUGAAAGCAAUGGUAUUACAGAAUAUUGUAAA